Molecule: long non-coding RNA, 572 nt
Organism: Bactrocera tryoni
Lineage: Eukaryota; Metazoa; Arthropoda; Insecta; Diptera; Tephritidae
Exons: 3
Source: RefSeq, a predicted model, not a curated record
UAGAGGAUGCAAUUGGCUUAAUAUCAUAAUGAAAAAAAACGAGAAAUUUUGCAAUAAUGGAUAUGGCACUUUGAUUUAUCUUAGCUACACCCGUAGGCGCUUUUGUGCAACAAGGAAGAUCCCUUUUGAUGUGAGGAAAUUACGUUUAAGAAUUGUUUUUUUUCGAUUUCCGAAAUCUUUGUGCUGGAACCUCAUCCAACAACUGAAGCGGUAUGACCAACAACCUCGAUUCCGUUUGACCUUCGGUUCUCUAUUCUUUAAGCAAUGCGCAUGCCAGUGUUGCGUGGGAAAUGGAUAUUGGCUCUGAUGAGCUAAUUCAGCAUUUUCCGUAGCAUUGAACAAAUUUGUAAAUUUAUGGUGGACCGUAAACAUGCCGAAGAGCGGUUUCCUAAUUCUGUUGAUGAAUGCAAUAGGAUGGAUUAUAUUCGAAAUUUGGAAUUAAGGGUCUAAUUGGAGCAUGUCAUGUUGCCAUAAUUUCACCUGCUUUGUCAACCACAGUUGUGCUACAUGAUUACAUGAAUAGAAAAGGGUAUUAUAGCAUUAAUGUUGAAUGGUUAAGUAUUAUAUUUACU